RNAcentral lists this ribosomal RNA (279 nucleotides) under uncultured bacterium. Its description in RNAcentral is "partial 16S ribosomal RNA". It matches the Rfam family "Bacterial small subunit ribosomal RNA", at positions 506 to 784 of the family's 1533-position model. The record is from RNAcentral.
UGCCAGCCUCCGCGGUACUACUAAUUGUGCAAGCGUUAAUCGGAAUUACUGGGCGUAAAGCGCGCGUAGGUGGUUCAGUAAGUUAGGAGUGAAAGCCCCGGGCUUAACCUGGGAAUUGCUUCUAAAACUGCUGAGCUAGAGUACGGUAGAGGGUGGUGGAAUUUCCUGUGUAGCGGUGAAAUGCGUAGAUAUAGGAAGGAACAUCAGUGGCGAAGGCGACCACCUGGACUGAUACUGACACUGAGGUGCGAAAGCGUGGGGAGCAAACAGGAUUAGAUA